This 384-nucleotide ribosomal RNA is filed under the name uncultured bacterium. Its description in RNAcentral is "bacterial SSU rRNA". It matches the Rfam family "Bacterial small subunit ribosomal RNA", at positions 32 to 408 of the family's 1533-position model. The record is from RNAcentral.
AAUCAACGCUGGCGGCGUGCCUCAGACAUGCAAGUCGAACGCGAAAGUCCCCUUCGGGGGAUGAUUAGAGUGGCGCACGGGUGAGUAACACGUAGGUAAUCUACCUUCGAGUGGGGAAUAACUCAGGGAAACUUGAGCUAAUACCGCAUAAUGCAGCGGCACCACAUGGUGACAGUUGUUAAAGCAUUUAUGCGCUUGAAGAGGAGCCUGCGGCGGAUUAGCAGUUGGUAAGGUAAUGGCUUACCAAGGCUACGAUCUGUAACCGGCCUGAGAGGGCGGACGGUCACACUGACACUGAAUAACGGGUCAGACUCCUACGGGAGGCAGCAGUCGGGAAUUUUGGGCAAUGGGCGAAAGCCUGACCCAGCAACGCCGCGUGAAGGA